UACGGAGGGUGCGAGCGUUGUCCGGAAUCACUGGGCGUAAAGGGCGCGUAGGCGGCUGGGGAGUCGGCGGUGAAAGCCCGGAGCUCAACUCCGGGUCGGCCGUCGAGACUCCUCGGCUCGAGCUCACUAGAGGCAGAUGGAAUUCCGGGUGUAGCGGUGGAAUGCGUAGAGAUCCGGAAGAACACCGGUGGCGAAGGCGGUCUGCUGGGGUGAGGCUGACGCUGAUGCGCGACAGCGUGGGGAGCAAACAGG
This 252-nucleotide ribosomal RNA is filed under the name uncultured bacterium. RNAcentral describes it as "partial 16S ribosomal RNA". It matches the Rfam family "Bacterial small subunit ribosomal RNA", at positions 524 to 776 of the family's 1533-position model. The record is from RNAcentral.